Non-coding RNA from Camellia sinensis, 209 nucleotides. NCBI's taxonomy places the organism in Eukaryota, Viridiplantae, Streptophyta, Magnoliopsida, Ericales, Theaceae. The record is from RefSeq and is a predicted model, not a curated record.
CGGCGUAGAUGUAGCUGGGCCAAGUUUAGGUUUCAGAAUCAUUGAUCCUCCUCGGAGACCCCAUUCCGGCAUAUGGUUUAUGCUUCAAGCAUCACAAAAUCAAGCAAAAGAACCCAUUUUGCCUCAGAUACCCAAGAGCUACCUGAGAAUUAAGGAUGGAAGGAUGACAGUUCGAUUGUUAAUGAAGUAUCUGGUUAACAAGCUGAGAU